GACGAACGCUGGCGGCGUGCUUAACACAUGCAAGUCGAACGGGAACCUUUAUUUCGGUAAAGGUGAGAGUGGCAAACGGGUGAGUAACACGUAGGCAACCUGCCGACAGGAUGGGGACAACAUUCCGAAAGGAAUGCUAAUACCGAAUGGAGUCCGAGGAUGGCAUCAUCCUUGGAUCAAAGAUGGCCUCUUAACAAUGCUAUCGCCUGUCGAUGGGCCUGCGUCUGAUUAGCCAGUUGGCGGGGUAACGGCCCACCAAAGCGACGAUCAGUAGCCGGUCUGAGAGGAUGAACGGCCACAUUGGGACUGAGACACGGCCCAGACUCCUACGGGAGGCAGCAGUGGGGAAUCUUCCACAAUGGGCGAAAGCCUGAUGGAGCAACGCCGCGUGAGUGAAGAAGGUCUUCGGAUCGUAAAGCUCUGUUGCACGGGACGAAAACUG
RNAcentral lists this ribosomal RNA (442 nucleotides) under Selenomonas sputigena. Its description in RNAcentral is "bacterial SSU rRNA". It matches the Rfam family "Bacterial small subunit ribosomal RNA", at positions 28 to 454 of the family's 1533-position model. The record is from RNAcentral. Lineage: Bacteria; Bacillati; Bacillota; Negativicutes; Selenomonadales; Selenomonadaceae.